UGCCUCCACCCAUCUUAGAUAUG
This 23-nucleotide microRNA is filed under the name Bombyx mori (domestic silkworm). Its description in RNAcentral is "bmo-miR-3273". Lineage: Eukaryota; Metazoa; Arthropoda; Insecta; Lepidoptera; Bombycidae. The record is from miRBase by way of RNAcentral.